GUUCGAUCAUGGCUCAGAUUGAACGCUGGCGGGAUGCUUUACACAUGCAAGUCGAACGGCAGCCUGGACUUCGGUCUGGUGGCGAGUGGCGAACGGUGAGUAAUGUAUCGGAACGUGCCUAGUAGCCAGGGAUAACUACGCGAAAGCGUAGCUAAUACCAUACGCCCUUCGGGGAAAGCGGGGACCUUCGGGCCUCGCACUAUUAGAAACGGCCGAUAUCGGAUUAGCUGGUUGGUGGGGUAACGGCUCACCAGGCGACGAUCCGUAGCUGGUUUGAGGACGAUAUUACACUGGGACUGGGAGCCACGGCCCAGACUCCUACUACGGGAGAAUAACAGUGGGGAAUUUUGGACAAUGGGGAAACCUGAUCCAGCCAUCCCGCGUGUGCGAUGAAGGCCUUCGGGUUGUAAAGCACUUUGGCGGAAAAACGGCACGGGACAAUACCCCGUGCAACUGACGGCUACCUGCAGAAUAAGCACCGGCUAACUACGUGCCAGCAGCCCGCGGUAAUACGUAGGGUGCAAGCGUUAAUCAGGUUACUGGGCGUAAAGCGUGCGCAGGCGGUUCGGAAAGAAGAUGUGAAAUCCCAGAGCUUAACUUUGGAACUGCAUUUUUAACUACCGAGCUAGAGUGUGUCAGGGAGGUGGAAUUCCGCGUGUAGCAGUGAAAUGCCGUAGAUAUGCGGAGGAACACCGAUGGCGAAGGCAGCCUCCUGGGAUAACACUGACGCUCAUGCACGAAAGCGUGGGGAGCAAACAGGAUUAGAUACCCUGGUAGUCCACGCCCUAAACGAUGUCAACUAGCUGUUGGGGCCUUCGGGCCUUGGUAGCGCAGCUAACGCGUGAAGUUGACCGCCUGGGGAGAGUACGGUCGCAAGAUUAAAACUCAAGGAAUUGACAGGGACCCGCACAAGCGGUGGAUGAUGUGGAUUAAUUCGAUGCAACGCGAAAAACCUUACCUACCCUUGACAUGUCUGGAAUCGAAGAGAUUUGGAGUGCUCGCAGAGAACCGGAGAUUACAGGUGCCACAUGGCUGUCGUCAGCUCGUGUCGUGAGAUGUUGGGUUAGGAUCCCGCAACGAGCAGCCUUGUCGACUGGUUGCUGCGGGCACUCUAAUGGGACUGCCGGUGAUAUUGGGAGGAAGGUGGGGAUGACGUCAAGUCCUCAUGGCCCUUAUGGGUAGGGCUUCACGUCAUACAAUGGUCAGGACAGAGGUCCUUAUUGCGAGGGAGUAAUCCCGAAACUUGAUCGUCCGGAUCGCAGUCUGCAACUCGACUGCGUGAAGUCGGAAUCGCUGGUAAUCGCGGAUCAGCAUGUCGCGGUGAAUACGUUCCGGGUCUUGUACACACCGCCCGUCACACCAUGGGAGUGGUUUACCAGAAAGUAGUUAGCCUAACCGUAAGGAGGGCGAUUACUACGGUAGGAUUCAUGACUGGGGUGAAGUCGUAACAAGGUAG
RNAcentral lists this ribosomal RNA (1456 nucleotides) under uncultured Bordetella sp. RNAcentral's name for it is "partial 16S-23S ribosomal RNA intergenic spacer". It matches the Rfam family "Bacterial small subunit ribosomal RNA". Lineage: Bacteria; Pseudomonadati; Pseudomonadota; Betaproteobacteria; Burkholderiales; Alcaligenaceae. The record is from RNAcentral.